Molecule: long non-coding RNA, 1914 nt
Organism: Pogona vitticeps (central bearded dragon)
Lineage: Eukaryota; Metazoa; Chordata; Lepidosauria; Squamata; Agamidae
Source: Ensembl
GAAGUUUGUGAUCCUUCUCUCAUUUACUUGACAGUAAGUCUAAUUGAACUCUUGCAAUGGGAAGAUCUGGAGCCGGGAGCUCGCCCCGAAGCCGCCCUGCGAGGAAGGUGAGGGCCGCCGGCUCGGGGAGCCCCCUUUCCCCCUCCACUCCCACCCCGCGGGAGCCUUUUUUCCUCCUGGACACGCGUCAGGCAGGGCACGUGUGAAGGCGCUCCGCCUGCCCCUGGAAGGGCUGCGCUCUUCGCCCGGGGCUGAGCGACUGCAUCUUCUCCCCUCCCCGCAGGCACCUUCCGCGAAGCCCCCUGGCAGAACUGCGUCCCGUGCGAUCUGUGCGAUGGUAAGAGGGCGAGGGGGCGCCGGGGCCGCUUUCGUGCCGGCUGCGCGGGGAGAUGGGGCGCACGGGCGCCCCGGGAUUGCCCAGCCCUUGAGCCUCCCCACCGGCCUCCUGGGGGCGAGCUCUCCGGCUUGGACGGAGGUCCCCUGGGGGGGCAAUCUAAAGUCUGGAGGGGGGGGAGCCUGCCGCUUCCUCCUCCUCUCCCUCCUCUCCCUCCUCAGGCGACCACCGGGAGUACGAGCGGCGGUGCAACGGGACGGUCAACGCGCUCUGCCGGUGCCGUCCGGGCUUCCUCUGUGGCGGGAAUGCGUGCGAGCGGUGCCUCUGCUCCGCGGGACAGGAGCCCACGGCGGAAGGUGCGCGGAGGACGGGGGGGAGGGCUUCCCUUGGGCUGCCCUGCCCGUGAGUACGGGGGCGGAGGGGGAAUGAAUCUGGGGGAUCCGGGAGACCCUCAAGCACCCCCCCUCCCGGUGGGCAGGACAGGCGGCUGGCGAUGUCGAUGCCCGGCGCCCUCCAAGUGAUGCCCGCCUACCUCCCGGUGGGCAGGACAGGGGGCUGGCGAUGCGGUGCCCGGCGCCCUCCAAGUGAUGCCCGCCUGUCCCUUUUGACCCCACAGGAUGCCGGAGUUGCCCUAAGGGGACCUUUAGCAACCAGAGUCACGCUCCGUGCCGCCCCUGGACACGGUAAGCGUGGUUUCCCCCACCCUUUCUCACGAUCAGAGGUUUUUGGUCUGGCCCACGGGACGAUCCCUGCUGUUGUUGAACGCACCUUCCCCGGCAGAUGCCCGGAGGGCCACAUCCUGACUCCAGGGACAGAGAAGACGGACGUGGUUUGCCGGCCGGGUCUGGAGGAACCUGGGACCACCGCGCCACCGGGGGUCCUCUCCACGCAGAUGCGUUCCGAGGAGACGGACAGCCGGCUCCUGGCGGUCAUUCUGGCCCUGCUGGGCGUCUUACUGCUCUGCUUGGUGUUCCUGCUGCUGUCCUGCGUUUUCUUCCGAUCUUGGGCCCGAGAGAAGUUCCGGAAAGGACCCCCGAAACAGCUGGCCCAGGAGGUGGAUGACUGUGUCUACCGCUACCCCGAGGAAGAAGAGGGGGAAGGCUCCGGCACCCCUUGCCUGAAGGGAGAGCUCCUUCUUGAGAAAGGGCCUUAGCUCCCUUGCCUGUUCAGAGGAGGAAGGAAAAGGGCAGGGCAGGUGGCCAGCCUGGGGCACAAAUCCCUCUGACUUGCAUUUCCUCUGAUUUCAACCCCCCAAAACUCUCCCCAUGUCCCUUGAGAGGGUUCAGCAACUGCAGACAGGUUGUAGUUCUCUAUGGGGAGAGAGGCUUUAUGCUAAAUGGGGGGGGGGUUCUGGCCCCAACCUGACCUGUCCCCUUCCCACUUUAUAAGUAGCUUUUUCCUCUUCUUAGAAUCCUAGAAUCAGAGAGUCAGAAGGGGCCUCUAAGGCCAUCAACUCCAACCCCCUGCUCGAUACAGGAAUCCCAAUCAAAGCAGAUCUGGCACUUGUUGUUUAGUCAUUUAGUUGUGUCCGACUCUUCGUGACCCCAUGGACCAGAGCACAGCAGGUCCUCCUGUCUUCC